CCACCAUCGUCUCACUCAGAGUGCCGUUGCUCACGCGCUCCUCCGGCUCUCCCGCUCGCGCGCGCCCCUCAGAAGAGGCACAGAUGGCGGCUCCCCGGAACGUGACGCAUCAGUCAUUACUGAUUGCAUAGCUGAGCUGAUCAUAACUUUAAUUGCCAUCAUGUGCAUCUCAAAAGGUACAAUUACUCGGCAGCUCUGUUCCGGCGGCCUGGAGAGGAGGGAGCUCACUUCUCCCAGCAGUUUGCCCCGGAUUGCACCACUUCCCAGCAGACUGCCUGCAGAAACUGUCGACUGUCUGUACUUUUACAAAACAAC
This is a long non-coding RNA of Anguilla rostrata (American eel), 315 nucleotides long. RefSeq lists it as uncharacterized. NCBI's taxonomy places the organism in Eukaryota, Metazoa, Chordata, Actinopteri, Anguilliformes, Anguillidae. The record is from RefSeq and is a predicted model, not a curated record. The transcript is spliced from 3 exons.